Molecule: small nuclear RNA, 95 nt
Filed under: Theropithecus gelada (gelada)
Lineage: Eukaryota; Metazoa; Chordata; Mammalia; Primates; Cercopithecidae
Source: RNAcentral
GUACUCAUGUCAGCAGCACACAUACUAUAACUGGCACAAUACAGAGGUCAGCAUGCACAGAUGACACACAAAUUCAUGAAGUGUUCUACAUAUAU